RNAcentral lists this ribosomal RNA (551 nucleotides) under uncultured Glomeromycotina. RNAcentral's name for it is "SSU rRNA". It matches the Rfam family "Eukaryotic small subunit ribosomal RNA", at positions 548 to 1098 of the family's 1831-position model. Lineage: Eukaryota; Fungi; Glomeromycota. The record is from RNAcentral.
UUGGAGGGCAAGUCUGGUGCCAGCAGCCGCGGUAAUUCCAGCUCCAAUAGCGUAUAUUAAAGUUGUUGCAGUUAAAAAGCUCGUAGUUGAAUUUCGGGAUCAAUACGUCGGUCGUGCUUUUUUGGUACGCACUGGCGUCAUUGGUUUCUCCUUUCUGACGAACCAUGAUGUCAUUAAUUUGGUGUUAUGGGGAGUUAGGACUGUUACUUUGAAAAAAUUAGAGUGUUUAAAGCAGGCAUUAGCUUGAAUACAUUAGCAUGGAAUAAUGAAAUAGGACGUUCGAUCCUAUUUUGUUGGUUUCUAGGAUCAACGUAAUGAUUAAUAGGGAUAGUUGGGGGCAUUAGUAUUCAAUUGUCAGAGGUGAAAUUCUUGGAUUUAUUGAUGACUAACUACUGCGAAAGCAUUUGCCAAGGAUGUUUUCAUUAAUCAAGAACGAAAGUUAGGGGAUCGAAGACGAUCAGAUACCGUCGUAGUCUUAACCAUAAACUAUGCCGACUAGGGAUCGGAUGAUGUUAAUUUUUUAAUGACUCAUUCGGCGCCUUACGGGAAAC